UUAGAAUUAAGAUUUGAUUUAAGUUAGGAUUUGAUUAAGAUUUAUUUAGGAUUUAACUAAGAUAUAUUUAAGAUUUGAUUAAGAUUUGGUUAGGAUUUGUCUAGGAUUUGACUAGGAUUUUUUUAGUAUUUGAUUAGAAUUUAAUUAAGAUUUUAUUAGGAUUUGAUAAAAAUUUGACUAGAAUUUGAUUAGAGCUUAUUUAAGGUUUGACUAGAUUUUGAUUAGAGCUUAUUUAAGAUUUUUCUAGGAUUUUUCUAAGGUUUGAUUAGGAUAUAUUUAGAUUAGAUUAGAUUUGAUUAGAAUUUGAGUAGAGUUUGACUAAGAUUUUUUAAAAAUUUGGCUAAGACUUAUUUAGGAUUUUAUAAGAAUUUGAUUAGGAUUUGACUAAGAUUUGAUUAGAACUUAUUUAGGAUUUGUCUAGGAUUUAACUAGGAUUUAUUUAAGAUUUGACUAGGAUUUAUUUAAGAUUUGAUUAGGACUUAGUUAGGAUUUAUUUAGGAUUUGAUUAAGAUUUGAUUAGAAUUUGAUUAGGAUUUGUUUAGAAUUUGUUUAGGACUUAUUUAGGGAUUGAUUAGGAUUUGACAAGGAUUUGACUAAAGUUUGACUAAGGUUUGAUAAAGUAUUGAUUAGAUUUUGAUUAAGAUUUUUAUUUUAGUAUAUAUUUUUUGAAUUUCUAUUUUAUUCUUUUAUGAUUUCUUUAAAGGAUCUUUAGGAAUUCUUUGUAUUUUUUAUAUAAUUUCUUUGAAAUUUUAAUUGAAUUUGAUUGAUGUUUG
This 773-nucleotide long non-coding RNA is filed under the name Physcomitrium patens. RNAcentral describes it as "long non-coding RNA (PPAT_LNC005615)". The record is from RNAcentral. Lineage: Eukaryota; Viridiplantae; Streptophyta; Bryopsida; Funariales; Funariaceae.